RNAcentral lists this ribosomal RNA (1437 nucleotides) under uncultured organism. RNAcentral describes it as "SSU rRNA". It matches the Rfam family "Bacterial small subunit ribosomal RNA". The record is from RNAcentral.
CUGGAUGAACGCUAGCUACAGGCUUAACACAUGCAAGUCGAGGGGCAGCAUGGUCUUAGCUUGCUAAGGCCGAUGGCGACCGGCGCACGGGUGAGUAACACGUAUCCAACCUGCCGUCUACUCUUGGACAGCCUUCUGAAAGGAAGAUUAAUACAAGAUGGCAUCAUGAGUCCGCAUGUUCACAUGAUUAAAGGUAUUCCGGUAGACGAUGGGGAUGCGUUCCAUUAGAUAGUAGGCGGGGUAACGGCCCACCUAGUCUUCGAUGGAUAGGGGUUCUGAGAGGAAGGUCCCCCACAUUGGAACUGAGACACGGCCCAAACUCCUACGGGAGGCAGCAGUGAGGAAUAUUGGUCAAUGGGCGCAGGCCUGAACCAGCCAAGUAGCGUGAAGGAUGACUGCCCUAUGGGUUGUAAACUUCUUUUAUAAAGGAAUAAAGUCGGGUAUGGAUACCCGUUUGCAUGUACUUUAUGAAUAAGGAUCGGCUAACUCCGUGCCAGCAGCCGCGGUAAUACGGAGGAUCCGAGCGUUAUCCGGAUUUAUUGGGUUUAAAGGGAGCGUAGAUGGAUGUUUAAGUCAGUUGUGAAAGUUUGCGGCUCAACCGUAAAAUUGCAGUUGAUACUGGAUAUCUUGAGUGCAGUUGAGGCAGGCGGAAUUCGUGGUGUAGCGGUGAAAUGCUUAGAUAUCACGAAGAACUCCGAUUGCGAAGGCAGCCUGCUAAGCUGCAACUGACAUUGAGGCUCGAAAGUGUGGGUAUCAAACAGGAUUAGAUACCCUGGUAGUCCACACGGUAAACGAUGAAUACUCGCUGUUUGCGAUAUACUGCAAGCGGCCAAGCGAAAGCGUUAAGUAUUCCACCUGGGGAGUACGCCGGCAACGGUGAAACUCAAAGGAAUUGACGGGGGCCCGCACAAGCGGAGGAACAUGUGGUUUAAUUCGAUGAUACGCGAGGAACCUUACCCGGGCUUAAAUUGCAGAUGAAUUACGGUGAAAGCCGUAAGCCGCAAGGCAUCUGUGAAGGUGCUGCAUGGUUGUCGUCAGCUCGUGCCGUGAGGUGUCGGCUUAAGUGCCAUAACGAGCGCAACCCUUGUUGUCAGUUACUAACAGGUUCCGCUGAGGACUCUGACAAGACUGCCAUCGUAAGAUGUGAGGAAGGUGGGGAUGACGUCAAAUCAGCACGGCCCUUACGUCCGGGGCUACACACGUGUUACAAUGGGGGGUACAGAGGGCCGCUACCACGCGAGUGGAUGCCAAUCCCCAAAACCUCUCUCAGUUCGGACUGGAGUCUGCAACCCGACUCCACGAAGCUGGAUUCGCUAGUAAUCGCGCAUCAGCCACGGCGCGGUGAAUACGUUCCCGGGCCUUGUACACACCGCCCGUCAAGCCAUGGGAGCCGGGGGUACCUGAAGUGCGUAACCGCGAGGAGCGCCCUAGGGUAAA